This 77-nucleotide transfer RNA is filed under the name Caldilineaceae bacterium. Its description in RNAcentral is "tRNA-Arg". It matches the Rfam family "tRNA". Rfam says of the family: Transfer RNA (tRNA) molecules are approximately 80 nucleotides in length. Their secondary structure includes four short double-helical elements and three loops (D, anti-codon, and T loops). The record is from RNAcentral. Lineage: Bacteria; Bacillati; Chloroflexota; Caldilineae; Caldilineales; Caldilineaceae.
GCGCCCGUAGCUCAAUGGAUUAGAGCACUUGACUUCGGAUCAAGGGGUUGUGGGUUCGAAUCCUACCGGGCGUGCCA